AUGGACGCCGCCGCCAUGGAGUCCCUCAUCCUGGAGCUGCACGCGGUGGAGGCCUACAAGUUCGGCGCCUUCGUGCUCAAGUCCGGCAUCACCUCCCCGAUCUACCUCGACCUGCGCGUGCUCGUCUCCCACCCGCGCCUCCUCUCCCGCGUCACCGCCCUCCUCGGCUCCCUCCCGCCCACGCGCCCCUACGGCCUCCUCUGCGGCGUCCCCUACACGGCCCUCCCCUUCGCCCCCGUGCUCUCCGACCUCGUCACCAGCGGCGCCUCCGUGCUCGAGACCGUCGCGCCGCUCCACGCUAAGGGGCUCGUGGUCGCCGACGCCGUCGUCGUCGUCGACCGCGAGCAGGGCGGGAGGGAGAACCUCGCGGCGAACGGGGUCACGCUGCACUCCCUCAUGACGCUCACCGAGGUGCUCGCCGUGCUGGUUAGGCAUGGCAAGGUCACCCAGGAGAAGGCCGCCGAGGUGAAGCGCUUCCUCGACGCCAACAGGAAGGUCUUGGUGCCGGCGGAGCCCAAGGUGGUGUCGGCCAACACAGCGCUCGCUGAGAGGGCGAGGCUGGCCAAGAACCCGGUGGGGAGGAAGCUGCUCGAGGUCAUGGAGGCCAAGCAUAGCGACCUCUGCGUCGCUGCCGAUGUUAUAACAGCAAACGAACUUCUUGAGCUAGCCAACAAGAUAUACAAAUCUUACUAA
This 693-nucleotide ribosomal RNA is filed under the name Triticum aestivum (bread wheat). RNAcentral's name for it is "partial small subunit ribosomal RNA". Lineage: Eukaryota; Viridiplantae; Streptophyta; Magnoliopsida; Poales; Poaceae. The record is from RNAcentral.